This 468-nucleotide ribosomal RNA is filed under the name uncultured bacterium. RNAcentral's name for it is "partial 16S ribosomal RNA". It matches the Rfam family "Bacterial small subunit ribosomal RNA", at positions 28 to 507 of the family's 1533-position model. The record is from RNAcentral.
GACGAACGCUGGCGGCGUGCUUAACACAUGCAAGUCGAACGGAAAGGCCCUGCUUUUGUGGGGUGCUCGAGUGGCGAACGGGUGAGUAACACGUGAGUAACCUGCCCUUGACUUUGGGAUAACUUCAGGAAACUGGGGCUAAUACCGGAUAGGAGCUCCUGCUGCAUGGUGGGGGUGGGAGAGUUUCGGCGGUGGGGGAUGGACUCGCGGCUUAUCAGCUUGUUGGUGGGGUAGUGGCUUACCAAGGCUUCGACGGGGAGCCGGCCUGAGGGGUGGACCGGCCACAUUGGAACUGGGCUACGGCCCAGCCUCCUACGGGAGGCAGCGGUGGGGAAUAUUGCACAAUGGGCGGAGGCCUGCUCCGGCACCGCCGCGGGCGGGAUGACGGCCUUCGGGUUGUAAACCGCUUCCGCCUGUGACGAAGCGUGAGUGACGGUAACGGGAGAAGAAGCACCGGCUAACUACGUG